This is a non-coding RNA of Lolium perenne, 3416 nucleotides long. NCBI's taxonomy places the organism in Eukaryota, Viridiplantae, Streptophyta, Magnoliopsida, Poales, Poaceae. The record is from RefSeq and is a predicted model, not a curated record.
CCUUUUUACUUCCCCCCACGCGAUCCUCCGCCAUUUCUUCCUCCACGCGCCGCCACACUUUCCGCCCCCCGCACCGCCGGUCGCCGCCGCAGAGCUCGGCGGAUCGUACCUGCCUGAUUCCCUCUCGGUCGUUGCUUCCCCUUGCCUCCAUUUGGGCUCGCCGAGCUCAAGAGGCUCACCUGCCGGCAACACGUCGAGGAUGACCAGGCUCCGGCGGUGCUGUGGAGGUUGGGGUGCAGCCGACCCUCUAUUUGGGGACUCGACGUGACCUGGGCGACGGACGGCCAACACCCCGGCGAGGAUGGCCAGCCACCGCUUCUCCCUCGCAUGUUUCUGAGCGUUGCCCAUGGGAGAAUAUCUCCAACUGCCGGCGUGCCCCAGAUGUGCAGCUUCUCACCGGCUUGCCGCCACAGCCCACAUGUCCUCUUGCCAUUACGUUUUGCAAGAAGAUGCUCCACGUCUGUCACGAAGUGACCCGAGGCAGCGCAUCUCUCCGCUGAAGUGGCCCAACCGCCCACGAAAGAUGGGGGCUGCUGCCGUUCAAAGGAAGUUCCAUGGUUGCCCAUUUGGAUUAGCAGCUUGGCAACCUUUACCUUAUUGUCAUAACGUGUAUCGGAAGAUCUAGGAUUUUUUAUUUUGAAGAUUGUCCAAUGAAAGACAAAGUAAAUGUAUUUAAAAGGCGCGCGGUGGCGGUGUUGCUAGGCAACGCGGUCCAUUGCAUUCGGUGCCCGUGCGUUUCGAUGGUACUGCAAGUGGUGAUGGUUUUUUGCCUCAUCGGUCUUUCUGUUGUUGCCUGCUCACUUGCCUAACAAGAAUAUGUCUCGGAAUUCAUAUCAAUGGAAGAUCAUGGUUCUAUUUGCUGGGAUCUGUGAGUUUAGGAGUCCAGAUCAGGGGACUCUCUUCUCACUUGAUUUUAUUAUCGUUGACCAACAGGUUAUAUCUAUUCUCUUUGCUUUUCUAUUUGUCAAGUUGUUCAGGUGUAAUCUAUCGAUCUGUUCAUUGAUGUCCUGCAGCCUUACGCCAUUUUAUCCCGCUUUGUAGUGGCUUGUGUGUAUUCAUUUUGUUUUUCAAUUUCUUAAUCCUUUGAUUGGUGCGCAUAGUUAACAUGCCUUAUUCCAUUCAGAGUUGAGAGAUAAGUGUUUUUCUUAAUUUGGGCAAUCCCUAUCAUAGUUAAUUGAUUUGAUCAUUCUUUCAAUUUCCCCCUAUGUUAUUCUACUCUCUGAUUAGAAUUUUUCUUUUCUUCUUUGUUCCUGGGUGAUUUACAUAAAUCCAUAAUGGAAGGUUUACUUCCUGGUGAUAGAGUGGAUCAAUUUAGGGAUUAGCUGAAGGAGGGGUCUGUAUACAUCAUUGACAAGUUUUAUCUAUAUGAUCCCAAAAGGGGAUAUAGAUCAGUGUACCAUCCUUUGAGGAUCUGCUUCACUAUGAGAACUGUUCUGAUGGAGGUGGAGCCACCGCUAGAGAUUUUUUCUAUGUUUGCCUAUACUGCUCCCCCUUUCAGCAUGCUGUCAGAUCGCAUCAACAAAAUUAUACUUUUACCUGGUACAAAUGUGGCCGGUUUGAUUGUUGAUUUAUUUUAUACCCUUUGUAUUCGUAGCAAAUUGUGUUUUCUGCUGUGGUAAUUUAAUUGCUUUGUGUACAUUUAUAGAUGUUGUUGGAUUGGUGAGAAAAGUCACAUGUUUUGCCUCCAUCUGGCAAGGCUAGGAGCCAGAAAUGGCAGGUGCCGAAUUGCUUCUGUUUCUGGUUUUAUUUUUCAGACCAAAUACUUGCUUCUUCUGAUUAAUAUCUAAUUCAUACAUGCGUUAAUUCAUGAGGCGAACAUGCUGUUGUUACCCUGUGGGGGGAGCUUGCUGAUUAUUUGAUGCUGAUGGAUUGAUGGAGGCAUCAAAUUAAGAGCCCGUCAUCGUCUUAUUUGUUGGCAUGACAGUUAGAUAUGCAUCAAAUUAAGAGCCCGUCAUCGUCUUAUUUGUUGGCAUGACAGUUAGACAGUACUCAAGUGAUACACUCUCGACUCUACUUUUUUGUUGCCAUUCGGUUCUUUUUUCCUUUCUGAUUUAUGCUAACUAUAAUAUUUGAUAUUCUACAUGUUUAUUGGCCUUCAACGGUACAUCUACUACAAGAUGACAUGUUAAUAUGUCAAUUCCAGAGAUUGCUACUGUUUGGGAUAGGUCGAAGCAUAUGUGGUGGCACAUCGAGCUGCACAGUGGAAACUAGGUUCGUGUUGAGCUGACCGUAUCAACAAUCAUGGAAAUAUCAACAUUUGAACCAAAUGAUAGCAUGGCAUGUUCGGUGUCUACAAUUGGUCAGUAAUUCUCAGAGUACGCUACAAGAUAUUUGUUAGAAUCAACGAAGUUCUCACAGAAAAGGGCUGGUAUUAGAUAAGAUGCAAAGAAUGCUGGAAGAAUCUUGAGUUAGAGGAUGGAGUAUACAAGUGCCCUCCGUGCGCUACUGCUAUACCACUGCCAAGGUAUAGGUUCAUUAUUCGAGAAAUUUACACUAACUCUACAGAUGUUCACACUGGAAAAAAAAAUUGACGUGUAAAUUUUUUGACGUGCCAAAUUUGCAGACUUAUAUUUGUUUGAGCCUUGAGGAGAGAUUGUCCUUUGAAAGGAGGCAUUGGCUUGUGUCAAGUGUCAGAGGGUAGGCUAAUACCGUGCCCCCGGAUUUGCUUGCCAUCGUGGGAAGAGAAUUCAGUGUUGUUGUCACUCCAAGACGUGAAUCAUUGGAUGUGUUGCACACUACAGAUUGCUGAGCCGAUUGUAUGUGCCAAUGUUACUGUGCGACAAGGCAUGGAUGGUUCGGCUGCAGGUCAGAAUAAUGAGGGUCUCCCUAUUCCUCAAACUCCAAAGCAGGUUCAAGGUCCUUGUGAGACUUCAACUCCGCCACCGUCUAUGGAUCUCACGCAACAGAGUGCACCAUCAUCAGCUUCUGUAGUCGAUGAGGUAAAAUUGUGUUGACUUAGCAGAGCACCCUGCAUUUUUGGGUUCUGUAGUGCUACGGAUUAUCAGGUAGUGGUAUAACAAGCAGAGCUGAGCUACGUCUGGCAGGCUUACCGUGUAAUCUUUUCCCACCUGCCAUGAUUCAAUACGUGCUCAGUCCUUUUUGUAUGGUGAAAGAGCAUAUAACAUCCCUUGACGAUUCACCAAAUGCAUUCGUCAGAGCUGUGUCCUCCUACACUUUCUCAGUUUGUCUGCAAAUGUGCGCAAAAUUCCUUGGCGGAUACAUGUGAAGCUGCUUCCUCUGAUUUUCAGUGAUCCAUCAACAAUGUCGAUCUACGACCGUGUAUUUCUAAGAGAAUUAUAGAUUAUUGUGGCCACACGAAAUUACCAAGUAUCCUAUUCUAUCAGGCAUGUUGUCUCCUCCUCUGUGUAACCUAUGAAUGGUGUACAAUUUCAGAAGUAUAAAUAAAGGACACACUG